This 839-nucleotide ribosomal RNA is filed under the name Pseudempleurosoma haywardi. Its description in RNAcentral is "eukaryotic LSU rRNA". It matches the Rfam family "Eukaryotic large subunit ribosomal RNA", at positions 21 to 645 of the family's 3401-position model. Lineage: Eukaryota; Metazoa; Platyhelminthes; Monogenea; Dactylogyridea; Dactylogyridae. The record is from RNAcentral.
UUACCCGGUUGGAAUUAAGCAUAUCAGUAAGCGGAGGAAAAGAAACUAACCAGGAUUCUCCCAGUAACGGCGAGUGAACGGAGAUUAGCCCAUCACCGAAGGCUGGGUGCUUUUGUGCUCAAGCCAAUGUGGUGUUUAGGCGUGGCACCUGGGAGCCUACGUCUGCUGGAAGUCCAACUCCGAUUAUGGCCUUGGACAAUGCCCUUAGCGGGUGAAAGGCCCGUGCCGGCAGAUUGUUGAUUGGUGGCUCCUUAGACGUUCAUGCUAUCGAGUCGGAUUGCUUGAGAAUGCAGUCCAAAGUGGGUGGUAAACUCCAUCCAAGGCUAAAUACUGGCACGAGUCCGAUAGUAGACAAGUACCGUGAGGGAAAGUUGAAAAGUACUCUGAAGAGAGAGUAAAUAGUACGUGAAACCGAUUGCAGGGAAGCUGGUGGAGUCAAGCUUCACGCGAUUGAGAUUUCUGCCAGGUGUUCGUAGUGCCGAGUAUGAGAGUGAUUCAUGUGUAGAUUCAUGUGCCACAUUCGUGUGGUCUGAGUAGCACUGGGCAGUGUUAUUGUUGGUCACUCUCUAACCUCAUCGCUUGGCGGUCUAUCUCAUUUUGCGUACAUCACAGUCGAUAGCAUGAUGAUUGAUUGAUAUUCUAACUGUGUCUCAGUGGGUUUUCAUGACCUGCUGGAUGCAGGAUGGCAGGUGGUGACAUCCGUUAUUGCAACUCAUGUCGCUUAUGCUGAUCUCGAUCUGCUGAAUAUCAGGUGGUUUAAUCUAUCGCUAUCGUAUCUUCUUGAUGUUCAGUUGACAGACUGGCCAUUUGUAAGAACUGUGAUGCGAGAGAUCCCCCCC